CAAAAGGAGAGGUCAUGUGACAAUUUGGAGAAAAGCCACCCCAUUCCAGACAGAGAAGACAGAACAGGCCAAGGGCACUGUAUGAGUUUGCUCUUUUCUGCCCCAAAUUACCACAAGCUUAAUGGCUUAAAGCAACACCUAUUAUUCCCUUACAGUUCUAGAGGGCAGAAGUCGAAAAUGGGUCUACAGGGCUGCGUUCUUUCUGGAGGUUCCAGGGGAAAAUCUGUUUCUUUGCACCUUCCAGCUUCUAGGGGCUGCCCGUGCUCCUUGGCUCCUGGCCCCACACUAUUCUGAUCUCUGAUUCCAACCUCACAUCUCCUUCUCUACUGCCGACCGUCCUGUCUCUCUCUUAUGAGGACUCUUGUGAUGACACUGAGCCCACCUGGAUCAUAUAGGCUCAUUUCCCCAUCAUCUCAGGAUCCCUAAUUUAAUUACAUCCACGAAGUCCCUUUUGCCAUGGAAAGCCACAUCUUCACAGGCUGUGGAGAUCAGGAUGCAGACACCUUGACGGACCAUCAUUCUGCCAGCUGCAGAUGCUAGGUCAGGAGUUGGCUCGGUGGGACUGAGGCCCGGUGGGAGGCCCGAGGGGCUGCUCAGUGCAGGCGUGCUUGUACAUCUGAGGAACAUCGAGGGGCCGAUUGGCUGGAGCAGGGUGAGUGGGGAGCAGGCUGAUGCCUGUGAGUCAGCAGGCGACCUGCUCAUGUAGGCCCCUUGUUGUCCAUGCAUCGUGAAGAUUCAGGAGCAAGACAGGAAGAAGCCCCAGGGCGAGGUUUCUGGACCUUGGCACCGCGGCCAUGCUGAGCCGGGUAAGUCUUUGCUGCGGGGGCCAUCCUGUACACAACAGGAUGUCAAGCAGCCUCCCUGGCCCCUGCCCUAGAGUUGGGACACCUAAACAUGUCUGCAGACACUGCUGGAGGUCUCCUGGAGGGUGAAGGCCUUGCUCCCUGUGUGGAGCCCCACUAUGCUAGUGGGAAAAGGACAGGCAGCACCUGUGCAGGCCCACCCAGGUGGAGUUUAAAAGAAAUCUCUGAUUUUUAAAUGCUCCAACACAGCCCACAGAGGCACUUCUGACAUGCCGCUACUGUCAGUGGAAGGUGGACCUUCCUCUGUAGCUGUGGUGCGUUUCCUAACAAGGUUCUGGCCAUCUUGAAAUAAUAUGGUAUUUUAUUCAAAAGAACUGAUGAAGUACCAUGCCUGCCCCUUGAACAAUUUUCUUAAAUACUCGACUUUUCACCCAAAUGUAUUAUCCCAACAUUUAGAAGGUUACUCACCAUAUACUGGCACCAUCUCUAGAAAACAAAGAAAUCACUUGCUAUGUUUGGUAAAUGUCACAACCAAACACGUAACAAUCAUGUUCCUAAGUGUAGCAAAUUCCAGCACCCACACUCCGCAGUUUCACCAGAAACAGGCAAGAGCAGACGAAUACUCAGAAGAGACAAUCGCUCCUCACAAACUCUUGCAGGCUACAGAGAAGGAAUAUGCAUGAUAAUGAAGAAUCACCACACAGACAACUGGUAUUGCCAAAUGAACUUGGCACUGUUCUGUGGGGAAAUUUAAAGCCCACCACGAGUCCAUCCUAAAAAGCCAAGAGGCACUGGUUAGAAAACCUCCUAGAAAACAGAAGGCCCAUGUCCGUUUAAGUUGGCCCUGGAGCACUGAAUCAUAUGAUGUGCUUUUGUUGCUAUUUUUACAUUUUUUAAAAAGCCAACAAAGUAGCUUUCCAGACGUCCAUGAAUGGUACAGUGUGCUGAGCAGGCCUAACUGUUUAGCUUCCAGAAAGAACUCCCUCACCCCACCCGACAUUCUGCUAUUCUGCUCUCCCCGCCCCCCAUGACAAUAUUUCAUUUGUGACUCAAGUAACUUUUUAAAAAAGAUAUGCUUGAUACUCUUCUGAAGCACUUAUUUGGAAAUAAUUUGGCUUUAAGACUCUUUCCAGAAGGCACAAACUAGAGAAAGUCCCUAAAAAGAGAAUACAAAAGUCAGAGAGGAGAAGAAUAUUGAAAACGGGAGCCCUGCACAGCUGAGGAGACACGUGACGCCCUAAAAUACUAUGCCAUGCGAGGGUUCGGAAGCCUCUCAGCUUUGUGCAUGUCAGAGGAUGAAGACUGGAAGGGAGGGAGGGAAGUGAGGAAAGAGAAACACAAGUGCACAAAGUGGGUCAAGCUGCAAUUUGCAGGAGGCCAAUGGUUUACGACACAGGACAACAUAAAUGGAAUGAAAUCAAUUAGGUACUGCUCACCUGUUGACCUAAUGCUUAUUGAAUGUCUUAUAACCAAGAUACAUGGCUUUGCCCAUUAGCUUAUGGAGUUAGAAGCCACACAUAUAAAAGAUCAAGUGGUUUCACUUAUGACACCCUCUGGAACUGAUGCUCGUCUAUUGGAAGGAGGGAAGGGAAGGAGGGGUAGAGGUUCUGAACCACCGGGGAUGACAAAGCCAAAAAAGUUUCUAUUCUUAUGGAAUCACGUCUGUAUAACUGUUUGUAAUAUUGCAAAUUUCACAUUUUAAAUGCACUUGAAAUGUUGUCAUAUGUAUGUAUUAAGCUACACGUAAAUGAAGAUCCUUGACUUGGUAUUCUAUCAAACGCUGUUCUCCGAUGAGACGUGACCAAUCACACACAGGAACUAUGCCACGCUUCCUUCCACAGGAGAAAGUAAGUAAGUAAGCAGAAGGCGAGGUUGGAAAAAAGUGCUUCUUACCUCUUUCUGGCUUCUUCAUAUUGCCAAUUAAGUCUGACUCGGUCUACAAGUCUUGUUUUAUCAUCAAAGACAAACUUUCCGGAACAGAAGAGAGAAAAAAAGAAAGGAAACGCAUAUUAAAAACAUAUUUCCAAAAUAGCAACUUCACUUAAACUUUCGGCAGCAAUGAGAAAUAUUCUUCAUCUCUUUCACUUUCAAUCUGUGCAAGGUCUGGAAGGAAACACUGAAUAACCCUUUGCGGCCACCCCUGGCUGGGGAGGGGGGAGGGGGAAGGGAAGACUCUUGCUUGCCUAAACUGGUAGGGUUUUUUGUUUUUUUUUACAGCAGCAGCAUAUCUAUCUAUUCUGUAAUUCCAAACAACAACCACAAAUUAGGUUUUAAAAGAAGUAGGAAAUUACUUAGUAAAAGUUGAUACAAAGGCAAAAACCAGUCACCCGAUUUUGUGCAGUACAUUCUCUAAUUCCUCAGUAAACGUAAAAUAAUGAUGUUCUACUCAGAAGCUCCACGGUCUGAGGAAGCUGGACUAGCUGUGUGACGGAUGGGCUGGUGGACGCCUUCUGAUGCCACGAGGUGUGUUAAAGAACCAAGGGCAAGCCAGGCGCGGUGGCUCACGCCUGUAAUCCCAGCACUUUGGGAGUCUGAGGCGGGCGGAUUACGAGGUCAGGAGAUCGAGACCAUCCUGGCUAACACGGUGAAACCCCGCCUCUACUAAAAAUACAAAAAAUUAGUCGGGCGUAGUGGCAGGCGCCUGUAGUCGCAGCUACUCGGGAGGCUGAGGCAGGAGAAUGGCAUGAACCCAGGAGGCGGAGCUUGCAGUGAGCCGAGACUGAGCCACUGCACUUCAGCCUGGGCGACAGAGCAAGACUCCGUCUCAAAAAAAAAAAAAAAAAAAGAACCAAGGGCAAAAGGAAAGCAAGCAAGGUCUCAAAAAGCCAGAGCUCGGGGAGUACCAAUAUAGAGUUAGCCUAAAUGCGGUGCUCUGUGACGAGUAGAUAUACUUAAAUAUUUUUGUACCAGUUACAUUGAUGACAAUAAAAUCCUACACAAAACAAAAAAAGACAUGUACAGGAAGUAACUGUAGUACAUUUUGGUUAAUUCCUCAUUCCUGCAAAUAUUCACACAACUCCAGUUUCAAUAAAUCAGCUCCAUCUGUUGAUCUGACCUUACUAGAUCACAUAUUAUGGCCACCAAGUCUUUACAUUUUUGAAAUAACUUCCCAUCAACAAGUAUCUGAAAAUAUUCAACUUGAAUGAUUAGCAGUGAAUUUAUCGACACGAGUUUUGAUCUAUGUUGAUGAAAAAUGUCUUCGCAAAUUUAUUGCCUUGAAUGGCAAGAUGAAAAAGUGCCUUACAAGGGACUGAGCAUUCUCCAACCAGAAUGACAAUUGUUCAUGGUUUCUUUUUUUGAGACAGGGUCUCGCACUAUUGCUCAGACUAGAGUGCAGUGGCACAAUCACAGCUCACUGCAGCCUCAACCCCUUGGGCUCAAGCGAUCCUCCUGCCUCAGCCUCCCAAGUAGCUGGGACUACAGGCAUGAGCCACCACGCCCAGGUGGUUGCCCAGCCAUGUUGCCCAGACUGGUCUUCAACUCAUGGGCUCAAGCAAUCUGGCCACCUCUGGCCACCUCAGCCUCCCAAAGUGCUAGGAUUACAAGCAUGAGCCACUGUGCCUGGCCACAAUUAUACAUGUUUAAACGGCCUCAUCCAAUGCUCCUCUCCAGCUUCCUCAGUAUAAAUAUAUUUAAGUGGCAGUGCCACAGCUCCAAAAGCUGUCCACAGUGGAGAUGAGCUACUUGCCAUUUCAGUCCCCUCUUUAUUAGUGACCCUGCAAUCAACUCAUCAAGAUCAGUAAACAUCAUCUCUCAAACCUCUUCUCAAAGCUGUAUGCACCUCUCUCUAAGCUUUGUUUCUGUACUCUUCUUUGAGAAUUAAAUGGACAUUUUAGUGAAAAGAAAAGACAGCCAAAUGGAUCCAAGAGACUCCUGCUUCAGAGUUCCUAUGCAGCGCUACAGCGUGUGCAACCCUGUGGCUGCAAAUCUCCAGUCUCAAAAAGCACAUCUGACAUACAGCAAUAUCCACCCCACAAAACAGACUCAACACAAGCACAAAGUGAGGUAGGCAGACUUCUAAGAAGGCCCCUAAUGACCAACACCUCCUGGGAUUCUCCCCGUGUGAAAUUCCCUCCCCCUGAGAAUAAACUGGGUCUAUAACUUGACUCUAACCAAUAGAACAGAACAAAGGUGAUGGGAAGUCAUUUCUGUGAAUAGGUUACAAAAGACUGUGACUUCCAUCUUGCUAGCAGACUCUCAGCUGGUACACUUUGACGAAGCAGGCUGCCGUGCUGGAGCAGCCCAUGUGGCAAGGAACUGAAGCCCUCAGUCCAGCAACCUGUGAGGAACUGAAUCCUGCCAACAAUCACAUGAGCUUAAGAGUGGCCCCUCCCCCAGAUGGCGACCAUAUUCUUUCAUCCAAAGAAGAUGCCUAGUCAAAAACGGCCAAGUGUACGUUUGGAACAACGCAGGCAAAUUUGAAAAUAGGACUGUUCCAGGACACCCAAGACAUAAAGGGCCGUGAUUUCCUACAUUAUACUCCACUCGAAGAGGCACUAGUUGCUAAGAUUUCAAAAUAUUAAUUAGCUAAUUAUUUAAAACCCAGAGUUUUCCAUCAAUUGUUUUUUCCUCCUUUUGUUGCUUUCCUUUUAUUUAUUUAAUUUCG
RNAcentral lists this long non-coding RNA (5409 nucleotides) under Homo sapiens (human). RNAcentral describes it as "PREDICTED lncRNA (TCONS_00273495)". Lineage: Eukaryota; Metazoa; Chordata; Mammalia; Primates; Hominidae. The record is from RNAcentral.